AAACUAACUUCCCGAAGCCGCAGAGACACCUGGACCCGCACACCGUGAGCCAGGCUACCUGAAGGGCCCGAGGGGCGCGCUCAAGGAGCGGGGACCGAGCUAGGCGGAGAGGCGCGCGGGGACGGCACCUGCGCUCCCUCUCCCGACGGCCAGGCUCGGCCUCCUCCCCGCCCGCUCGCCGCCGCCGCCUACCUGUCUGAGGAUGAAGCUGGUCGAAGUGGUGCUGCCAUCCGAUCUUUUCAACCUGCUCCUCCGGGUCGUGGUGCCUCGGGCCACCUGGACUCGACACACGGGGCCAGAGAGAAGCCAGUGAGGACGGCGGCGAGGAGCUGGGCAGCCAGCGGGCUGGAGUCCGCCUGCUGGGGACCUGCGCCCCCGGGUCCCCCCGAGCUCGCCCCCGAAUCUCCUCCGCGUCUCCCCACGGCCGCCCUCGCGCCCACCCACUCGCCCUACGCCUCGACGGCUGCAGGACUCCCGCGCAGCGCAGCGCAGCGCAGCCCGCGGGCACCCACCACAUCCAUUAACAAAGACUCUCGGGGUGCGGGGUCCGAGUCCCCGGCAUCGGCUGGGGAGGCUGCAGGCUCCGGAGCGGGAGCGCGGAGACCGAGGAUUGAGAACUGGUGGUCAACUUAAUGCCAGCUGGAUUACAUCAGCAUGCAUUGAACGAAGAUGCUCCACCUGAGGAAAGUUGCCAGGAUAAAUAGGUGGAGAAGAAGGGAGAUGUGGAGGUUGAGGCAUUAAGGAGGCCUUGUGGAUUCUUCUAUGAAUUGCUGUCUGAGCUGUUGGUUCUCCUGGAGAAGAUUUGGUCCUCACAUCGAGCAUUGCUUCCUGGCUCUGGAGGAGAAGACGUGUGCCGCCUGGUCUCCAGGAUGAACUCAUCAUGCUGCUUCCUGGCACGUACCCGACUGUGCUUGUCAUCAGAGGAGCUCGGGGGGCCUCCAGAUCGCUGAGGACAGCUGUGGUGCCUUUCAGGACAGCCCCGCUCUUUGUUGGGAGUGUAACUUCUCGGCUCCAGCAUAGAACCCUCAUCCCACUAGCACAGCUCCUUCAUCCUGCAGGCAUAGACUUUCAGGCUUCCAUUGCUGAGCCUGGGGUCUUCCUGGUACGGAUCUGUAAGAGACUGGUGUGAGUCCUUCUUGUGGGCUCUGGACCUCUGUUGGACCUGUGGGAGACAUCGUCCUGAGCUCUGGGUUUUUAUCUGGACUCAUGUGGGACAUUGCUGUGGGGUUUAGGCUUUUGACUAAAUAAUCUAUGUCUUGGG
Cavia porcellus (domestic guinea pig) is the source of this 1261-nucleotide long non-coding RNA. RefSeq lists it as uncharacterized. The transcript has 2 exons. NCBI's taxonomy places the organism in Eukaryota, Metazoa, Chordata, Mammalia, Rodentia, Caviidae. The record is from RefSeq and is a predicted model, not a curated record.